This 239-nucleotide ribosomal RNA is filed under the name Pseudo-nitzschia fraudulenta. Its description in RNAcentral is "partial Bacterial large subunit ribosomal RNA". It matches the Rfam family "Bacterial large subunit ribosomal RNA", at positions 681 to 919 of the family's 2925-position model. Lineage: Eukaryota; Bacillariophyta; Bacillariophyceae; Bacillariales; Bacillariaceae. The record is from RNAcentral.
GUCUGAAUAGGGCGAAUAGUUGCAUGUCGUAGACCCGAAACGGGAUGAGCUAUCCAUGGGCAGGUUGAAGCGGGGGUAAUACCUCGUGGAGGACCGAACACAUAUAGGUUGAAAACUGUUGUGAUGACCUGUGGAUAGGGGUGAAAGGCCAAUCAAAUUCCGUGAUAGCUGGUUCUCUCCGAAAUGCAUUUAGGUGCAGCGUCUGACGAAUACUAACGGGGGUAUAGCACUGAAUUGGC